This is a non-coding RNA of Gymnothorax javanicus (giant moray), 72 nucleotides long. The record is from the annotation of a GenBank genome assembly. Lineage: Eukaryota; Metazoa; Chordata; Actinopteri; Anguilliformes; Muraenidae.
UGUAGGUUAGCUCACUCGGUUAAGGCGCUGCAUUUGUGUCGCAGGGCGCAGGUUCGAUCCCUGGUUGUACCA